UCAAAUUCAUGGAGACAGAAAGUAGCAUGGCAGUUGCCAAGGGCUGGGGAAAGCGAUGCCCAUUCCACCUUCAGCUCUGUGGAUCUGGGGAGUCAGUGUUUAAUGUGUACAGAAUUUCAGUUUGGGAAGAUGAAAAAGUUUUGGAAGUGGAUGAUGGUGAUUGCUACACACUAGUGCACUUAAAACCACUGAACUGUACACCUAAAAGUGGUUAAAAUGGUAAAUCUUAGGUAUAUUUUAUCACAAUAAAAUUAUGUUAAAAGUUUUACAUUAAAGAAAAGGGCCAGGUCAACCUGCUACUUUAUAGCAUCCUGUCCAGCUAUAAAAAUAGUGUUUAUGACAAGUAUGAAGUAGAAUUGGAAAUGCUUAUGACAAAGUUCUGACAAUUAUGUCUCUGCAAAAAUAAACACCACCAAAGGCCCCAAGGAAAUACAUCAAAAUAGAGCCAUGGGUGUUUUUAUGUCACAAAGAAGAUACAAAUAUUUUUUUCUUUACUUCUCUUUUCCAGUGUUUUGUUUUUUUUUUCUUUUUUUCCAUGAGCAGGUACUACUUUUAAAGGGGGAAAAUAACAAAGUUCAUUUUCUUCCAUAACUUCAUUUGAAAAGAAAGGGAGGAAGAACAGAAAGAAAACCCUUUAUGUUUUGUGUCCCUAGAGGCUUUUAAGCCCAGCUCAGGAAAAGGGCAAUUAAUCAGGCUGGCAACUGCUUUCAGCUCUCUGUUUUUUUGUGUAGUGGAUCCCCCGGACAGGCUGGUGAAAAGCCUGUGGGGCAUUCUUGGAAUAACAUUUUUAAAUGCAUGUAACAAAACAUAGGGUUAUGAAGGAAACUGAUUAUUCUGAAACACGUUGUCAAAAAAUAUUUUUAAAUCCUGAUACAGUAUAUCAAUCAGAGCCAAGUCAGGAAAAAAGAAAUGACAGCAGUGAUUUCAAUAGAAGCAGUACAGGGAGUCCCUAAACAGGUGUUGCAUGGCUGAAAAAGCAAAGGAGGUCUCAUGCCACAGAGGCCUCAUCUCAGGAACAGCUAGGGCUGGAGACAAAGACCGGGGUGAUGGUCUCAGAAGGCUUGGAGUGGGGACCCGGACCGCGGGGGCUCAGGCGGGACUGAUGAGGGUGGUCUCUGGGCGUGUGAAAAACACUACAAACGGAACCAACAGCUGCUGCCAGGGUGAAGUCCCGUUGCUGGGGUGACGCUCAGAGAAACAGGAAGCAGGCAGGAAGCAGCGUGCUCCAGGCUGCCUCCUCCCACUGCCCAGGCUCUUUGGCCCUCCUGGGGGCAGGGCCCGAUAGGGCACAGCUCUGGCCCUGUGGUAAGGAAGGGAGGGUUUGCAGUGGAGAGGCAACAGUUCAACAGUCAGCACAUGCAUGCACGUCCUUAUUCUACCAAAUACCGACGGUGAUGCCUGACAACCAUUUCCCCAGCUCUCAGCAACAACCCUAAAGUGACAGAGAAAUAUCUGUGGUUUCUAUUGGUGCUGAGGUCACACAGACUUCUAAUGCUACUGAAGGUUUUUGCCGGCAUUCAUAAUGGAAGUGAAACCACGUAUAAAGAUGCAGUAGAUUUGUAAUAAAAGAAGACCCAGCCCUCAGCCGAAGAAGUUAGGCUAAUCCGUGUGGGGGUUUCAUUUCACCUGAAGAGAAGGUCCCUCCUUCACUGUCUCACAAAGUGAAAGAAAGCACAAUGUGUGGUAAGUCUGUUCUUCACCUAAAACGAUGGUACACUGCCACUGUAUUGUAAAAGAAUUUCUCAUGCUUUGUGAAGAAUGAAACACUGCAACCAUUUAUAUAAAACACCAAAAUUCAGUAUUUUGUGACUUAUCUAUAGCAAUACCUGGAAACACAGAUGACUCAAAUUGAGAGGUUAUGUUCAGAGCUUCAAUAUCAGGGACAUAGUUAAAAGGAUAUAUCAUCCACAUUUAGAUACUGUAAAGUCUUAUUUCAAAAUAUGAUAAAGUAGAUAUUCUCUUAGAACAAUCAGAAGGAAACUAAAUUUAGAACGUAUCAACAGCGGGUGCCUGGGUGAAAUCUUGGCAAGGACAAAUAUUGAAAAAAUAGUUCAAUAUUUUUUCAAGAACAAGAUAAACUUUGUGUUGAGGAGUACAGAAAAUUCCCUGCUUUCUUUCCAUUUUGACAGAACCAUCUGAUCAUAAUGGAAACCUACGUUUUAAGAUCUUUUAUUUUUUUAUUUUUCAAAUAUUAAAUUCUCCUUGAACACAAAACACUGAUUCUCUUGCAUAAGAACCACAUUCCCCACCUUGAUUUUAAGAGAUUCAUUCCUAUUGCCAGUAGAUAGCUAUAUACUGUCUACUAUUUUUUAAAAAGCCACUAAGGAAACAAGAAGUUGGGGCACUGAUCCUUACUCUCUAAAGUUAUUGUAAAGUUGGCCGGCUGUGUGCGCUCAAGGAAUUCUAGAAACCAUGAGAAGGAACUGAAGGAAAGUGACCCAGCAAGGCAGGUUCUGCUGUGGUUCAAGCCAGCCAUGAGGAGGGUCUGAGUUUGGGCAGAGCAGAAAGGAGUGGACUUCGAAAACCUUUUAAAGGCAGAGUUCAUGAAUGGGGCAGUGGACAGAUUUGCAGGACCAAAGGUAGCCGGAGGUGGCCAGACUGGGCAUUUGCAGAAAGCGGCUACAGUGAAGGGUAAGCUCGUGUAAAGGCUAGUUUUCAGGGCCAAAAGAUAACUUCAGCUCAUGAGUAGCUUAUGCUUUAGUGAGAAAUCACAUAAAGUGAAAGUCAAGAGAUCAACACAUGUGGAUGAGAAGAGAAGUAGAAAUUGCUACGCUGUGUUUUGUUUUGUUUUGUUUUGUUUUUUUGAGAUGGAGUCUUGCUCUGUCACC
This is a long non-coding RNA of Cercocebus atys (sooty mangabey), 2828 nucleotides long. RefSeq lists it as uncharacterized. The record is from RefSeq and is a predicted model, not a curated record. The transcript is spliced from 2 exons. Lineage: Eukaryota; Metazoa; Chordata; Mammalia; Primates; Cercopithecidae.